GCUCUGGUGGCGAAACAGUUAAGCACUUGGCUGCUAACCAAAAGGUUGGUGAUUCAAACCCACUCAGCAGCU
RNAcentral lists this transfer RNA (72 nucleotides) under Loxodonta africana (African savanna elephant). It matches the Rfam family "tRNA". Rfam says of the family: Transfer RNA (tRNA) molecules are approximately 80 nucleotides in length. Their secondary structure includes four short double-helical elements and three loops (D, anti-codon, and T loops). Further hydrogen bonds mediate the characteristic L-shaped molecular structure. tRNAs have two regions of fundamental functional importance: the anti-codon, which is responsible for specific mRNA codon recognition, and the 3' end, to which the tRNAs corresponding amino acid is attached (by aminoacyl-tRNA synthetases). tRNAs cope with the degeneracy of the genetic code in two manners: having more than one tRNA (with a specific anti-codon) for a particular amino acid; and 'wobble' base-pairing, i.e. permitting non-standard base-pairing at the 3rd anti-codon position. Lineage: Eukaryota; Metazoa; Chordata; Mammalia; Proboscidea; Elephantidae. The record is from Rfam by way of RNAcentral.